Molecule: long non-coding RNA, 157 nt
Organism: Stylophora pistillata
Lineage: Eukaryota; Metazoa; Cnidaria; Anthozoa; Scleractinia; Pocilloporidae
Source: RefSeq, a predicted model, not a curated record
GCGACUGCGGCAUAAAAACACUCAAGUGGAGAAAGGAAGCAGUCACCAUUCAGGAAUAUCGACUAAUUUACAUCGUGUCAUUUUGAGCAGUGAUGUAAACAGCUAAAACACUCCUGAGGAAAGAUGUCUAUCAAGAGCAUGUGGACUUUCACUUUUG